AGUGAACGCUGGCGGUAGGCCUAACACAUGCAAGUCGAACGGCAGCACAGUAAGAGCUUGCUCUUACGGGUGGCGAGUGGCGGACGGGUGAGGAAUACAUCGGAAUCUACUUUUUCGUGGGGGAUAACGUAGGGAAACUUACGCUAAUACCGCAUACGACCUACGGGUGAAAGCAGGGGAUCUUCGGACCUUGCGCGAUUGAAUGAGCCGAUGUCGGAUUAGCUAGUUGGCGGGGUAAAGGCCCACCAAGGCGACGAUCCGUAGCUGGUCUGAGAGGAUGAUCAGCCACACUGGAACUGAGACGCGGCCCAGACUCCUACGGGAGGCAGCAGUGGGGAAUAUUGGACAAUGGGCGCAAGCCUGAUCCAGCCAUACCGCGUGGGUGAAGAAGGCCUUCGGGUUGUAAAGCCCUUUUGUUGGGAAAGAAAAGCAGCAGGUUAAUACCCCGCUGUUCUGACGGUACCCAAAGAAUAAGCACCGGCUAACUUCGUG
This 492-nucleotide ribosomal RNA is filed under the name uncultured bacterium. RNAcentral's name for it is "partial 16S ribosomal RNA". It matches the Rfam family "Bacterial small subunit ribosomal RNA", at positions 29 to 507 of the family's 1533-position model. The record is from RNAcentral.